Molecule: ribosomal RNA, 250 nt
Filed under: uncultured prokaryote
Description: partial 16S ribosomal RNA
Rfam family: Bacterial small subunit ribosomal RNA
Source: RNAcentral
UACGGAGGAUGCGAGCGUUAUCCGGAUUUAUUGGGUUUAAAGGGUGCGUAGGCGGCGCAGCAAGUCAGCGGUGAAAUGCAAGGGCUUAACCCUUGACGUGCCGUUGAAACUGUCGUGCUAGAAUGCGGAUGCUGUGGGAGGAAUGUGUAGUGUAGCGGUGAAAUGCAUAGAUAUUACACAGAACACCGAUUGCGAAGGCAUCUCACAAAUCCGCGAUUGACGCUGAGGCACGAAAGUGCGGGGAUCAAAC